This 256-nucleotide ribosomal RNA is filed under the name uncultured bacterium. RNAcentral's name for it is "partial 16S ribosomal RNA". It matches the Rfam family "Bacterial small subunit ribosomal RNA", at positions 524 to 776 of the family's 1533-position model. The record is from RNAcentral.
UACGUAGGGUGCAAGCGUUGUCCGGAAUUAUUGGGCGUAAAGAGCUUGUAGGCGGUUUGUCGCGUCUGCUGUGAAAUCUCAAGGCUCAACCUUGAGCUUGCAGUGGGUACGGGCAGACUAGAGUGUGGUAGGGGGAGACUGGAAUUCCUGGGUGUAGCGGUGGAAUGCGCAGAUAUCAGGAGGAACACCGAUGGCGAAGGCAGAUCUCUGGGCCGUUACUGACGCUGAGGAGCGAAAGCGUGGGGGAGCGAACAGG